Bombus terrestris (buff-tailed bumblebee) is the source of this 710-nucleotide long non-coding RNA. RefSeq lists it as uncharacterized. The transcript has 3 exons. Lineage: Eukaryota; Metazoa; Arthropoda; Insecta; Hymenoptera; Apidae. The record is from RefSeq and is a predicted model, not a curated record.
UAGCUAAGUCGCUUAAAUCGCUUAAACCUAGCCAAAGAGGCCAACUUCCGCUUGCUUCCCCCAUUUAUCAGCCUAAAAUACCUGAACCACCUUCAAACUCAUCGAUUGCCUCGUUUUCACAGAAACACAGUCUUUUCUAUGGGUCCACCUGCGUAGGCUACGUGAGAAAAGUAACGUUGAAUGGUAAGAAAAUAUCGUACGGUCAGAAAGAUCGGACGGUUGGAGCGAAAGAGGAAACUGUUCUCUGGAUUAUCCUUGAAACGUAAUGGAACGUUUCGCAAGAAACACGUUUUCUGCGAAUCGCACGCUAUCGACAGAUUCUGCAUUACGUAUGUAUAUGAGUGCUUGUCAUGAAUGUCGUGUUUUUAAAUGCGGAAAGAGAAUUUUAGAGACGAGUGGUCAAUGAUAAUGAUCUAAUGAUCGAAGGGAAGUGAUAAUGGAGAGAAUUGUUGUCGGUGAUCUUGCGAAUUAUAAGAAGAAUGACUUGGAAAUAUAAUUAGGAUGUUGUGAAGAACUGCUGUUGUAGUACUAUCGUUGUUUGUUUACGUAUGUCUACGAGAAUUCAAUCUUUUUUUGGGCGGUUCACUGGAAACAUCGAUUCUCUUUGAGGAAAGUGUCAGCGAUUAAACUGACCUGUGUAAAAGGCAGAGGCUCCGAGGUUGCGCCGCAAGCUCCGCAAACGCUUUGCUCGACCAACGUCAUGGCGAACU